AGUGAACGCUGGCGGUAGGCCUAACACAUGCAAGUCGAACGGCAGCACAGUAAGAGCUUGCUCUUACGGGUGGCGAGUGGCGUACGGGUGAGGAAUACAUCGGAAUCUACUUUUUCGUGGGGGUUAACGUAGGGAAACUUACGCUAAUACCGCAUACGACCUACGGGUGAAAGCAGGGGAUCUUCGCACCUUGCGCGAAUGAAUGAGCCGAUGUCGGAUUAGCUAGUUGGCGGGGUAAAGGCCCACCAAGGCGGCGAUCCGUAGCUGGUCUGAGAGGAUGAUCAGCCACACUGGAACUGAGACACGGUCCAGACUCCUACGGGAGGCAGCAGUGGGGAAUAUUGGACAAUGGGCGCAAGCCUGAUCCAGCCAUACCGCGUGGGUGAAGAAGGCCUUCGGGUUGUAAAGCCCUUUUGUUGGGAAAGAAAAGCAGCAGGUUAAUACCCCGCUGUUCUGACGGUACCCAAAGAAUAAGCACCGGCUAACUUCGUG
This 492-nucleotide ribosomal RNA is filed under the name uncultured bacterium. RNAcentral describes it as "partial 16S ribosomal RNA". It matches the Rfam family "Bacterial small subunit ribosomal RNA", at positions 29 to 507 of the family's 1533-position model. The record is from RNAcentral.